GUUCAAGUAGCUUAAUUAUAAAGUAUAACAUUGAAGAUGUUGGGAUAAGUGUAUACUUCUUGAACG
This 66-nucleotide transfer RNA is filed under the name Sycanus falleni. RNAcentral describes it as "tRNA-Phe". It matches the Rfam family "tRNA". Rfam says of the family: Transfer RNA (tRNA) molecules are approximately 80 nucleotides in length. Their secondary structure includes four short double-helical elements and three loops (D, anti-codon, and T loops). The record is from RNAcentral. Lineage: Eukaryota; Metazoa; Arthropoda; Insecta; Hemiptera; Reduviidae.